AGACACAAAAAGCCCGUGACAAAACUACAAACCACAGUAGACACCGAGGGAAGAGCAAGACCUUCAAGGCGAAGCCUCCAAGGAGGUAAACAACGACAGAAGCCGCUGCCGACGCCCACCCAACUGGGCUGGGUUUUCACCCGAAAGGGGAGGGAGUCCACAAGGCAACACCUCCAAGGAGGAAAACGGUGCCCGCAGGCGUCGAUAGCCUCUAAGAAGCCAGAGCCAGAAUGUUUAAAGUUAUCGUUGCUCGGCUCAUCGGAUGAACCCGAUACAGCAGCUCCGACUCCACCUAAACACAAAGACUCUAGCAAUGAAGAGGACAAGCACCCAGCUCAACACUCGGCACUACGACAGGUUUACACAGACACAGGGCACUUGAAACACGACGAGGCCCAAGAGCGCUGA
RNAcentral lists this long non-coding RNA (408 nucleotides) under Oryza sativa aromatic subgroup. RNAcentral describes it as "lncRNA OsARC_02g0013950". Lineage: Eukaryota; Viridiplantae; Streptophyta; Magnoliopsida; Poales; Poaceae. The record is from RNAcentral.